Non-coding RNA from Hordeum vulgare subsp. vulgare (domesticated barley), 125 nucleotides. The record is from Rfam. Lineage: Eukaryota; Viridiplantae; Streptophyta; Magnoliopsida; Poales; Poaceae.
GUUAUACUCCCUCUGUCCGGAAUUACUUGUUGCGGAAAUGGAUGUAUCUAGAAAUAUAUUAGUUCUAGAUACAUCCAUUUUGAUCAGUUUCUACAACAAGUAAUUCAGUGCAGAGGGAGUACUUC